This 495-nucleotide ribosomal RNA is filed under the name uncultured bacterium. Its description in RNAcentral is "partial 16S ribosomal RNA". It matches the Rfam family "Bacterial small subunit ribosomal RNA", at positions 28 to 507 of the family's 1533-position model. The record is from RNAcentral.
GACGAACGCUGGCGGCGUGCCUAAUACAUGCAAGUCGAACGCUGAAGGAGGAGCUUGCUUCUCUGGAUGAGUUGCGAACGGGUGAGUAACGCGUAGGUAACCUGCCUGGUAGCGGGGGAUAACUAUUGGAAACGAUAGCUAAUACCGCAUAGUAGCAGUUGUUGCAUGACAACUGUUUGAAAGGUGCAAUUGCACCACUACCAGAUGGACCUGCGUUGUAUUAGCUAGUUGGUGGGGUAACGGCUCACCAAGGCGACGAUACAGAGCCGACCUGGGAGGGGGAUCGGCCAGACUGGGAGGGAGACACGGCCCAGACUCCUACGGGAGGCAGCAGUAGGGAAUCGUCGGCAAGAGACGGAAGUCUGACCGAGCAACGCCGCGGGAGUGAAGAAGGUUGUCGGAUCGUAAAGCUCUGUUGUAAGGGAAGAACGAGUGUGAGAGUGGAAAGUUCACACUGUGACGGUAUCUUACCAGAAAGGGACGGCUAACUACGUG